UCUGAAUAUGGGGGGACCAUCCUCCAAGGCUAAAUACUCCUGACUGACCGAUAGUGAACCAGUACCGUGAGGGAAAGGCGAAAAGAACCCCUGUGAGGGGAGUGAAAUAGAACCUGAAACCGUGUACGUACAAGCAGUGGGAGCCCUUCGGGGUGACUGCGUACCUUUUGUAUAAUGGGUCAGCGACUUACAUUUUGUAGCGAGGUUAACCGUAUAGGGGAGCCGUAGGGAAACCGAGUCUUAACUGGGCGUCUAGUUGCAAGGUGUAGACCCGAAACCGGGUGAUCUAGCCAUGGGCAGGUUGAAGGUUGAGUAACAUCAACUGGAGGACCGAACCCACUAACGUUGCAAAGUUAGGGGAUGACCUGUGGCUGGGGGUGAAAGGCCAAUCAAACUCGGAGAUAGCUGGUUCUCCCCGAAAGCUAUUUAGGUAGCGCCUCGGACGAAUACUACUGGGGGUAGAGCACUGUUUGGGCUAGGGGGUCAUCCCGACUUACCAACCCCAUGCAAACUCCGAAUACCAGUAAGUAAUAUCCGGGAGACACACGGCGGGUGCUAACGUCCGUCGUGAAGAGGGAAACAACCCAGACCGCCGGCUAAGGUCCCAAAGUUCUGGUUAAGUGGGAAACGAUGUGGGAAGGCUCAGACAGCUAGGAUGUUGGCUUAGAAGCAGCCAUCAUUUAAAGAAAGCGUAAUAGCUCACUAGUCGAGUCGGCCUGCGCGGAAGAUGUAACGGGGCUCAAACCAGGCACCGAAGCCGCGGAUUCACGCUAAGCGUGAGUGGUAGGGGAGCGUUCUGUAAGUCUGCGAAGGUGUGUCGAGAGGCAUGCUGGAGAUAUCAGAAGUGCGAAUGCUGACGUAAGUAACGAUAAAGGGGGUGAAAAGCCUCCUCGCCGGAAGACCAAGGGUUCCUGUCCAACGUUAAUCGGGGC
This 932-nucleotide ribosomal RNA is filed under the name Aeromonas dhakensis. Its description in RNAcentral is "partial 23S ribosomal RNA". It matches the Rfam family "Bacterial large subunit ribosomal RNA", at positions 437 to 1375 of the family's 2925-position model. The record is from RNAcentral. Lineage: Bacteria; Pseudomonadati; Pseudomonadota; Gammaproteobacteria; Aeromonadales; Aeromonadaceae.